RNAcentral lists this transfer RNA (76 nucleotides) under Sinorhizobium sp. RAC02. RNAcentral describes it as "tRNA-Thr". It matches the Rfam family "tRNA". Rfam says of the family: Transfer RNA (tRNA) molecules are approximately 80 nucleotides in length. Their secondary structure includes four short double-helical elements and three loops (D, anti-codon, and T loops). RNAcentral also lists the same sequence under 3 other names. Lineage: Bacteria; Pseudomonadati; Pseudomonadota; Alphaproteobacteria; Hyphomicrobiales; Rhizobiaceae. The record is from RNAcentral.
GCCGCUUUAGCUCAGUUGGUAGAGCACGUCAUUCGUAAUGACGGGGUCAGCAGUUCGAGUCUGCUAAGCGGCACCA